Molecule: ribosomal RNA, 115 nt
Filed under: uncultured bacterium
Lineage: Bacteria
Description: partial 16S ribosomal RNA
Rfam family: Bacterial small subunit ribosomal RNA
Source: RNAcentral
CGGUGAAUACGUUCCCGGGCCUUGUACACACCGCCCGUCAAGCCAUGGGAGGCUGGGGGUACCUAAAGUCGGUUACCGCAAGGAGCUGCCUAAGGUAAAACCAGUGACUGGGGCU